ACGUUGAUGAAAAUCUUGUCAUUCGUGUUUCCAAAAAAAAAAAACGAAAAGGAAAAAAACGAAGCGAAAGAAACCUUCGUUAUGGGGCACAUAAAUAAAGGAGCUGCGACCAGGACCACGGACAAAAGCCAGAAGCGUUCACCAAAUUGAUAACCACCGAAAAAAGAAUACGAGACCGGGGAAGAAAUAUUCCUCCUUGGUUGCAUGUGCCACCACACAAAGGAAAGCGAGCCACAAAACCUCGUCCUUGCCGCCAUUUACAUUUGAAAGAGCCUGCGAAAGCCUGAAGCAUCACCUAAUCGAGUCUAACCAAGUCCUUGCAUAACAUUCCGGAUUUCAGAGGAUUUCAGUAAAGAAAUCCACAGCAAUCCCCACACAUCCAAAGCCCAACGAAACCCCAUAAUGCUGGCCCAUAAUCAUUAUCAUUAACCUGAUGGGGAAGACAGUUUUUUGCCGCUGGCUGCUUUGCUGGCUCGCUGGGCGAAAAAGAAGUCAUGAAACCACAGGAAUUGCUACAUGAGGCGCAAACAAAACAGUUUAAUUAAAAUUAUUAUUGUAAUUUAA
This is a long non-coding RNA of Drosophila teissieri, 564 nucleotides long. RefSeq lists it as uncharacterized. NCBI's taxonomy places the organism in Eukaryota, Metazoa, Arthropoda, Insecta, Diptera, Drosophilidae. The record is from RefSeq and is a predicted model, not a curated record. The transcript has 2 exons.